This 654-nucleotide ribosomal RNA is filed under the name uncultured bacterium. RNAcentral describes it as "bacterial SSU rRNA". It matches the Rfam family "Bacterial small subunit ribosomal RNA", at positions 202 to 842 of the family's 1533-position model. The record is from RNAcentral.
GAAAGAUGGCUUUGGCUAUCACUCUGGGAUGGACCUGCGGUGCAUUAGCUAGUUGGUAAGGUAACGGCUUACCAAGGCGAUGAUGCAUAGCCGAGUUGAGAGACUGAUCGGCCACAAUGGAACUGAGACACGGUCCAUACUCCUACGGGAGGCAGCAGUAGGGAAUCUUCCACAAUGGGCGCAAGCCUGAUGGAGCAACACCGCGUGAGUGAAGAAGGGUUUCGGCUCGUAAAGCUCUGUUGUUGGAGAAGAACGUGCGUGAGAGUAACUGUUCACGCAGUGACGGUAUCCAACCAGAAAGUCACGGCUAACUACGUGCCAGCAGCCGCGGUAAUACGUAGGUGGCAAGCGUUAUCCGGAUUUAUUGGGCGUAGAGCGAGCGCAGGCGGUUGCUUAGGUCUGAUGUGAAAGCCUUCGGCUUAACCGAAGAAGUGCAUCGGAAACCGGGCGACUUGAGUGCAGAAGAGGACAGUGGAACUCCAUGUGUAGCGGUGGAAUGCGUAGAUAUAUGGAAGAACAUCAGUGGCGAAGGCGGCUGUCUGGUCUGCAACUGACGCUGAGGCUCGAAAGCAUGGGUAGCGAACAGGAUUAGAUACCCUGGUAGUCCAUGCCGUAAACGAUGAGUGCUGGGUGUUGGAGGGUUUCCGCCCUUCA